UUGGCUUCUUUGAUCAUGCUUGUCUCCUGGGAAAUUUGGAAAGAGAGAAAUAGUCGUGUCCUCCGCCACCACACCUCCCCCAUCAACCUGGAUACUUCAAGAAUCAAGGAGGAGACCAAGCUUUGGGCUUUGGCCGGUAACUUUCGCUUGGGCAUUGUAACUCCGGGAGAUUAA
This 174-nucleotide ribosomal RNA is filed under the name Triticum aestivum (bread wheat). Its description in RNAcentral is "partial small subunit ribosomal RNA". The record is from RNAcentral. Lineage: Eukaryota; Viridiplantae; Streptophyta; Magnoliopsida; Poales; Poaceae.